GACUCAGACUGCAGUAACAUGCAAAAAUCAAAACUUCAAAAGAAGGAGGAAAUCGAACUGAUGUGUUUCUUGGCGAGGCAUCACAGACCUCCAGGAAAAUCUGUGCCCUUCCAAGACACCAUCUAACCACAAAGGUACUGAUCAGGUACUGACCACUAUGCCCCACAGCUUGUGCUACCUUGAGACUUAGAAGCGCAAAGGAAAGCAGCGCAUCUUUCACCUUGUGCAUGGCCUUAAGACUAACCCUGGUACUGCAUUCUUAUGUAACUUUAGACAGUAUCCUUUAUACACAAAUGUAGUUGUAAAGUCUUGAUCCUCCAUGCACAGACACACACCUUAGUUUUGGCAUUUCUUAAUUCUGAGUUCCUGAUGUACAAAAGAUCUGGCAUUAUAU
This 394-nucleotide long non-coding RNA is filed under the name Gallus gallus (chicken). RNAcentral's name for it is "long non-coding RNA NONGGAT006789". Lineage: Eukaryota; Metazoa; Chordata; Aves; Galliformes; Phasianidae. The record is from RNAcentral.